GGCGCUUAUAGGCGCCGGCGCACCGGCCGAACUGUUCGUCCGGUCAAGCCCCAGCCGCCCGAUACAUCCGUUCCCCACCGUCUGAUUGCUUUGUUUUAAAAGUCAAACACGCAGAAAAAAAAACACGCACAGGAAACACAAAAAAAAGGACAGCGAGCGCGCAUGCCAGAUCUGUGUGCUCGCCGGCCGCUCGCGAUAGUCCUCGUCUUCCCGUGCUUGCUUUCCACCGCGCCACCACGCCCGUCACCCGCGCUCGCCUGCCGCUUGCCUGACGGUCGUGUCUGACACUUGCCUUGGCUGCCUCUGCUCGUCAUGGUUGCAACUCAAACACAGGAGGAUUCCAGCGCGCUGUCAUCAUGGUUGGAGCAUCCCUGGCGUCCCCGUCUCCGGCUCGCCGCCAUUGUCAACUUGCAGCGUCAUGUCUAGCAAAAAAAGCAAUAAAAAUCUCCAAUGCUGGGUUGAAGCAAAAAAAUUUGCCGGUUCCAGCAAAAAAUAAUGAUGGUUCCAGCAAAACUCUCAACAGCACAAAAACUCCAGUAGCAGAUUGUAGCAAAAAAAUUAGCUAGUUCCAGCAAAAAGAAACACUGGUUCCAACAAAAAAUCAUGCCGCUUCAAGCAAGAAUGUUUGCUGGUUCCAACAAAUUACAUGACACUGUGAUGCGUGUUGGAUGUAGCAAUUGAGAACAUUGGUUGUAGCAAAAACUCAAACGGUGGUAGCAAAGAAAUUGAUGCACUGGUUCCCCCCAAAAAACAUGGUAGCAAAAUAAUUGAUUGGUUCCAACAAAAACCGAGGUUGGUUGUAGCAAAAAUGUACAUUGGUUGUAUCAAAAACAAAUGACAUGGUUGCAAAAAUUUGGGUUGGUUCCAUAAAAAAGAAACGAACAUGAUGGUAGCAAAAUAAUUAAUUGGUUCCAGCAAGAACUGAAGAUGGUGGUAGCAAAAUUGAAAACCGGUUGUACCAAAAAGCAAAUGACAUGGCAGCAAAACUUCGAGUUGGUUCCAUAGAAAAAGAACAUGGUUGUAGCAAAAUCUUACACUGGUUCCAGCAAAAAUCAAGGGCGUCUGCAGCAAAAAUUGGGGCUGCUUCCAAGAAAAGAAAAUGAUGGAUCUCCAUCACUUGUCGCCGUGGUUGCAACGCCUCAACGUCGGCCGCCGCGGCUCUCCGUUACUUCUCGCCGCCAUCGGCAGCACCGGUGGGGGUUGGUUUGCAGCGCUGGUCGCUGGUGGGGCGUGAGGGGGCGG
RNAcentral lists this long non-coding RNA (1242 nucleotides) under Triticum aestivum (bread wheat). RNAcentral describes it as "long non-coding RNA (TAES_LNC003061)". The record is from RNAcentral. Lineage: Eukaryota; Viridiplantae; Streptophyta; Magnoliopsida; Poales; Poaceae.